GACGUAGGGUGCGAGCGUUGUCCGGAUUUAUUGGGCGUAAAGAGCUCGUAGGCGGCCUGUCGCGUCAGCUGUGAAAACCCGCGGCUUAACCGUGGGCUUGCAGCUGAUACGGGCAGGCUAGAGUUCGGUAGGGGAGACUGGAAUUCCUGGUGUAGCGGUGAAAUGCGCAGAUAUCAGGAGGAACACCGGUGGCGAAGGCGGGUCUCUGGGCCGGUACUGACGCUGAGGAACGAAAGCCAGGGGAGCAAACGGG
This 253-nucleotide ribosomal RNA is filed under the name uncultured bacterium. RNAcentral's name for it is "partial 16S ribosomal RNA". It matches the Rfam family "Bacterial small subunit ribosomal RNA", at positions 524 to 776 of the family's 1533-position model. The record is from RNAcentral.